RNAcentral lists this ribosomal RNA (1046 nucleotides) under Sulfuricurvum sp. RIFCSPHIGHO2_12_FULL_44_8. RNAcentral describes it as "partial 23S ribosomal RNA". It matches the Rfam family "Bacterial large subunit ribosomal RNA", at positions 2040 to 2522 of the family's 2925-position model. Lineage: Bacteria; Pseudomonadati; Campylobacterota; Epsilonproteobacteria; Campylobacterales; Sulfurimonadaceae. The record is from RNAcentral.
AAAUACAAUACCGGUGAAGAUGCCGGUUAAGUGCAGUUAGACGAAAAGACCCUAGAAGCUUUACUAUAGCUUGAUAUUGAGCAUGUUUUUGGACUGCGUAGAAUAUACGGGAGACUUUGAAGGAAAGAUUUCGGUUUUUCUGGAGUCGCCAGUGCAAUACCGUACUUUUUGAAGGCAUGUUCUAACCAAUGCGGCAAAAACGCAUUGAGACAGUAUCUGGUGGAUAGUUUUACUGGGGCUGUACCCUCGAGGGUUCAAACAUUGGUGUCAAAGAGACACUUUGACAUUUGAACUUUCGAAUUUUACAGCUCCAAGAGGUCUAUCUUAAUGUCAAAGAGACACUUUGACAUCCGUUAAAAUCUCAAAAACAAAAAAUAGGGGGGCAAAUGUGCAACAUCCGAUGUUGCACAUUUGGAAAGUUGGGAAUUUGCUGGGAAAACCGGUGUAUGGCAUAAUACUUAUAUUAUAAGUAACAACUUAUGCCUGCGGUUAAUCAGCAGGGAAGAAAAAGUAUAUGGAAGGAUUACCAAACAUGAAAUCUAGGGAGGAAACUUUAGAAGACGAAAUGGAAAGCUUAAUUAAAGAACAAGAAGAAGUGUACAAACGACGCGAUGCCAUGGAAGCAAGAAUGCAGGAGAUAAGAGUCCAGCUUGAACAAUUAAGAAAUUAAAUGAUUUAAUUCCCUCAGAGACUACAAACCAACCAUCCGCGAGGAUGAAUGUAUAGUCCGAUCUCAUUGGCGACAAUGAGAAUGUCGAGGUUCAAUCUUGACAUUAGUGUCAAAGAGACUCUUUGACACUUAACAAAAAUGCCUAAAGAGUAAAGGAGGGGUUUAAAGGUAAGCUAGGCGCGAAUGGAAACCGUGCCGAUAGUGUAAUGGCACAAGCUUGCUUGACUGUAAGACGUACUUGUCGAGCAGAUACGAAAGUAGAACAUAGUGAACCGACCAUUCGCAUUAGACGCGGUGGAAGAUUAACGGAUAAAAGCUACUCUAGGGAUAACAGGCUAGUUCCGCCCAAGAGUUCAUAUCGACGGCGGAGUUCGGC